RNAcentral lists this small RNA (574 nucleotides) under Pongo abelii (Sumatran orangutan). Its description in RNAcentral is "retained intron". The record is from RNAcentral. Lineage: Eukaryota; Metazoa; Chordata; Mammalia; Primates; Hominidae.
AGUGCCCUCGUCCCCCGCAGUCUCUGUGCGUUGAAGCCGGAGACAGCGGCGGCCUCAGCGAGGACCCUCCGCCCCGGAGCCGCCGGCUGGAGCCACAGCCUCUGCCGCAGCGUCCCCGCCACCUGUCCCCUCCCCCGCCGCCUCCGCCGGAGCCGCCUCGCGCACUCUGGGGUAUGGCCGUCAAUGUGUACUCCACAUCUGUGACCAGUGAAAAUCUGAGUCGCCAUGAUAUGCUUGCAUGGGUCAAUGACUCCCUGCACCUCAACUAUACCAAGAUAGAACAGCUCUGUUCAGGUAGGAGGCUGGGAAUAUGGGAAGUGGCCCUGCUGGAAGGAAAGGAAAGAAAGGUCGGAAGGCAGAGCAGCCACAGCAGGGAAUAUACAGUCAUGCAUGGCUGAAUGACUGAUGUGCCCAGAGAAAUGCAUCCUUAGGCAAUGCUUUUGUUGUAUGAACAUCACAGAGUGUAUUUACACAAACUUGGACGGUGUAGCCUAGGACACACCUCGGCUAUAUGGUAUAGCCUACUACUCCUAGGCUAAAAACAUGGACAGCAUGUUUCUGUACUAACUAUUGC